GUGAAUCAUCGAAUUUUUGAACGCAAAUUGCACUCUCCUCGGAGAGUAUGACUGUUUGAGUGUCAGCCUAUAAAAAUCGACAUCGUUACUGUUUCGCGGUGGCGUUCGUCGGAAAUUGGGUCAUCUUAAAUCUUUUUUGUUUAUGCUACUUAAAAUUUUCUUUUGUUUCCAUGAACUUUUCUAAGAUCUAUUUCUUUACUCGUUAAAUGUAUCUAUUUUUACUUGUCGUAACCAUCAUA
Molecule: unclassified non-coding RNA, 239 nt
Filed under: Glomus sp.
Lineage: Eukaryota; Fungi; Glomeromycota; Glomeromycetes; Glomerales; Glomeraceae
Description: partial contains 5.8S ribosomal RNA and internal transcribed spacer 2
Rfam family: 5.8S ribosomal RNA (bases 1-65)
Source: RNAcentral